ACCUGACUGCUAUCGGAUUGAUACUAAGCCAUGCGAGUCAUUGUAGCAAUACAAGGCAUACGGCUCAGUAACGCGUAGUCAACCUAACCUAUGGACGGGAAUAACCUCGGGAAACUGAGAAUAAUGCCCGAUAGAACAUUAUGCCUGGAAUGGUUUAUGUUCCAAAUGAUUUAUCGCCAUAGGAUGGGACUGCGGCCUAUCAGUUUGUUGGUGAGGUAAUGGCCCACCAAGACUAUUACAGGUACGGGCUCUGAGAGGAGUAGCCCGGAGAUGGGUACUGAGACACGGACCCAGGCCCUAUGGGGCGCAGCAGGCGAGAAAACUUUGCAAUGUGCGAAAGCACGACAAGGUUAAUCCGAGUGAUUUCUGCCAAAGAGAUCUUUUGUUAGUUCUAGAAACACUAACGAAUAAGGGGUGGGCAAGUUCUGGUGUCAGCCGCCGCGGUAAAACCAGCACCUCAAGUGGUCAGGAUGAUUAUUGGGCCUAAAGCAUCCGUAGCCGGCUCUGUAAGUUUUCGGUUAAAUCUGUACGCUCAACGUACAGGCUGCCGGGAAUACUGCAGAACUAGGGAGUGGGAGAGGUAGACGGUACUCGGUAGGAAGUGGUAAAAUGCUUUGAUCUAUCGAUGACCACCUGUGGCGAAGGCGGUCUACCAGAACACGUCCGACGGUGAGGGAUGAAAGCUGGGGGAGCAAACCGGAUUAGAUACCCGGGUAGUCCCAGCUGUAAACUAUGCAAACUCAGUGAUGCAUUGGCUUGUGGCCAAUGCAGUGCUGCAGGGAAGCCGUUAAGUUUGCCGCCUGGGAAGUACGUACGCAAGUAUGAAACUUAAAGGAAUUGGCGGGGGAGCACCACAAGGGGUGAAGCCUGCGGUUC
Molecule: ribosomal RNA, 876 nt
Filed under: uncultured crenarchaeote
Lineage: Archaea; Thermoproteati; Thermoproteota
Description: bacterial SSU rRNA
Rfam family: Archaeal small subunit ribosomal RNA
Source: RNAcentral